AGAACGAACGCUGGCGGCAUGCCUAAUACAUGCAAGUCGAACGAAGGCUUCGGCCUUAGUGGCGCACGGGUGCGUAACGCGUGGGAAUCUGCCCCUUGGUUCGGAAUAACAGUUGGAAACGACUGCUAAUACCGGAUGAUGACGAAAGUCCAAAGAUUUAUCGCCAAGGGAUGAGCCCGCGUAGGAUUAGCUAGUUGGUGAGGUAAAGGCUCACCAAGGCGACGAUCCUUAGCUGGUCUGAGAGGAUGAUCAGCCACACUGGGACUGAGACACGGCCCAGACUCCUACGGGAGGCAGCAGUAGGGAAUAUGGACAAUGGGCGAAAGCCUGAUCCAGCAAUGCCGCGUGAGUGAUGAAGGCCUUAGGGUUGUAAAGCUCUUUACCGAGAUGAUAAUGACAGUAUGGAGAAGUACGCCCGUAUAACUCCGUGCCAGCAGCCGAC
RNAcentral lists this ribosomal RNA (442 nucleotides) under uncultured soil bacterium. RNAcentral's name for it is "bacterial SSU rRNA". It matches the Rfam family "Bacterial small subunit ribosomal RNA", at positions 26 to 518 of the family's 1533-position model. The record is from RNAcentral.